UUUAGGUGCGUCUUGUAGUCACGGAUGCUUGUGUUAGAGAAAAUUGGCUACAGGCAAGGACAGCCUCAGCCUGACAUGUGUUAAUCAUAUGAUUGUUGACUGUUGAGUUGGGGGACUACUGUUUGUUACCCAUUGUACCUGUAGAAUGGACACAAUGCAGUAUCAGAACUUACUUGUUCUAGUAAUUAGGUAAUUUUAUCUCCCUUCUCUCAUUCCAGACUCGGUUGCAAUGGAAGUUGAUGUUCUCGUUUUCCUUGUGUAUGGCAGCUUAAGUGAAGCAUGGAUUUCAACAAAUAAGCGAGUAGGAAACUUGCCAUUAUUGAUUCUACCAGAUAGCACUGCUAUUUUUCCAUUACUAAAUGCAGUUUUGUUUUUAUUGAUAAUUCUAUUUAUUGUAGCUUUUGCAAGCAAGUGACAGCAUUAAUGUUUUGCUAUAAAUAUAAUAUUGCAUUAAUGAAUAUUAUUACAGUCUCCAUGAAUAUGAUUACUUUGUUAUGAAUUAAAGUUUAUGAUAAUUUAGUCUCACAUGAUUAAGUGAGAAACAGGAA
Molecule: long non-coding RNA, 548 nt
Filed under: Amphimedon queenslandica
Lineage: Eukaryota; Metazoa; Porifera; Demospongiae; Haplosclerida; Niphatidae
Description: uncharacterized LOC109593613
Source: RNAcentral